CCGCAUCCAGCCGAGGGAUUUCUUCUGACUCCAAGGCCGCUCUGGAGUCGAAGAAGGUCGGGGCAACGUCCAGGCAUCCGGUCCCUUCUGGCCGCACUGACGAGAGGACGGUUGAGACAACACAGAGCCCGGGUGUGUUGUCUUCUACUGAUGAAGAUGAGGAAACUACUGCGAAGGUAAGUGAGGUGAGUAUGGGUAAUGUUGAUGUUGUUAGGGGUUCAGUUCACCAGGGGCACAGUCGGUUUAGGAAUCCGGGAGUUCAGUGUAUGGCGAUAGGGUUGGUUAGUUUGGCCAGACAUAUGGUGUCUAGUGUGUUCAAUUGGAAGACAGAAGAUUUAGAUUUAGCUCUGUGGUUAGGAGA
This is a long non-coding RNA of Melanotaenia boesemani (Boeseman's rainbowfish), 361 nucleotides long. RefSeq lists it as uncharacterized. The transcript has 3 exons. The record is from RefSeq and is a predicted model, not a curated record. Lineage: Eukaryota; Metazoa; Chordata; Actinopteri; Atheriniformes; Melanotaeniidae.